UACGUAGGGGGCAAGCGUUGUCCGGAUUUAUUGGGCGUAAAGAGCGUGUAGGCGGCCUGACAAGUCUGCUGUGAAAACUCGAGGCUCAACCUCGAGAUGUCGGCGGAAACUGUCUGGCUAGAGUCCGGAAGAGGAGAGUGGAAUUCCUGGUGUAGCGGUGAAAUGCGCAGAUAUCUGGAGGAACACCGGUGGCGAAGGCGGCAUCCUGGACCGGUAUUGACGCUGAGGCGCGAAAGCUAGGGGAGCAAACGGG
RNAcentral lists this ribosomal RNA (253 nucleotides) under uncultured bacterium. Its description in RNAcentral is "partial 16S ribosomal RNA". It matches the Rfam family "Bacterial small subunit ribosomal RNA", at positions 524 to 776 of the family's 1533-position model. The record is from RNAcentral.